GAAGCUGGUGGUGGAAAUCAAAGAGUGUAUUAGUAAACUCAACUAAACCAAGACAAAAGACAAGUCAAACUGCAAUAGACUAUCCGAUGAGACCACAAAGUGUAUGCAUCUCAACAUCUGGAAUUCUAAGGGCUCAAUAAUAAAUGCUGCUCAUGUACAGGACCUGCACAGGUAUGCACAAAAUUGAUUGGGUCCUAGAGCUGGGAGAAGUCGGCAACAUACCCAUUCUAACCCAGAAGUUAUUUCCAAUUGAUAACUACUUGCAAAUGAAAACCUUAAUUUUCUCUAAGAAAGUCCCACUGAGUAAACAAACUAUCCCAUCCAGCAGAGAUGACCAACAGAAAUAAACUCAAAUGGCAUCUCUGGA
Long non-coding RNA from Mesocricetus auratus (golden hamster), 367 nucleotides. RefSeq lists it as uncharacterized. NCBI's taxonomy places the organism in Eukaryota, Metazoa, Chordata, Mammalia, Rodentia, Cricetidae. The record is from RefSeq and is a predicted model, not a curated record. The transcript has 2 exons.